Molecule: ribosomal RNA, 253 nt
Filed under: uncultured bacterium
Lineage: Bacteria
Description: partial 16S ribosomal RNA
Rfam family: Bacterial small subunit ribosomal RNA
Source: RNAcentral
UACAGAGGGGGCAAGCGUUGUUCGGAAUUACUGGGCGUAAAGGGUGCGUAGGCGGCCGCCUAAGUCAGACGUGAAAUCCCUCGGCUCAACCGGGGAACUGCGUCUGAUACUGGAAGGCUUGAAUCCGGGAGAGGGAUGUGGAAUUCCAGGUGUAGCGGUGAAAUGCGUAGAUAUCUGGAGGAACACCGGUGGCGAAGGCGACAUCCUGGACCGGUAUUGACGCUGAGGCGCGAAAGCCAGGGGAGCAAACGGG